RNAcentral lists this ribosomal RNA (249 nucleotides) under uncultured Synechococcus sp. RNAcentral describes it as "partial 16S ribosomal RNA". It matches the Rfam family "Bacterial small subunit ribosomal RNA", at positions 355 to 619 of the family's 1533-position model. The record is from RNAcentral. Lineage: Bacteria; Bacillati; Cyanobacteriota; Cyanophyceae; Synechococcales; Synechococcaceae.
UGGGGAAUUUUCCGCAAUGGGCGCAAGCCUGACGGAGCAACGCCGCGUGAGGGAUGAAGGCCUCUGGGCUGUAAACCUCUUUUUUCAAGGAAGAAGACCUGACGGUACUUGAAGAAUAAGCCACGGCUAAUUCCGUGCCAGCAGCCGCGGUAAUACGGGAGCGGCAAGCGUUAUCCGGAAUUAUUGGGCGUAAAGCGUCCGCAGGCGGCGCUGAAAGUCUGUCGUUAAAGCGUGGAGCUCAACUCCAUU